GACGAACGCUGGCGGCGUGCCUAAUACAUGCAAGUUGAGCGCUGAAGGUUGGUCCUUGUACCAACUGGAUGAGCAGCGAACGGGUGAGUAACGCGUGGUGAAUCUGCCUUUGAGCGGGGGACAACAUUUGGAAACGAAUGCUAAUACCGCAUAAAAACUUUAAACACAAGUUUUAAGUUUGAAAGAUGCAAUUGCAUCACUCAAAGAUGAUCCCGCGUUGUAUUAGCUAGUUGGUGAGGUAAAGGCUCACCAAGGCGAUGAUACAUAGCCGACCUGAGAGGGUGGUCGGCCACAUUGGGACUGAGAAACGGCCCAAACUCCUACGGGAAGCAGCAGUAGGGGAUCUUCGGCAAUGGACGAAAGGCUGACCGAGCAACGCCGCGUGAGUGAAGGAGGGUUUCGGAUCGGAAAACUCUGUUGGUAGAGAAGAACGUUGGUGAGAGGGGAAAGCUCAUCAAGUGACGGUAACUACCCAGAAAGGGACGGCUAACUACGUG
Molecule: ribosomal RNA, 497 nt
Filed under: uncultured bacterium
Lineage: Bacteria
Description: partial 16S ribosomal RNA
Rfam family: Bacterial small subunit ribosomal RNA
Source: RNAcentral